UGGGAAAGAUUUUUUUCCCCCUAAAUCUUAUAAGAAGUUUUAUCCUGUCCUUUUAAUUUUGUAUUAUAUACUAAUUUUGUUUUCUAAAUGAUUUUAUUUUUUAGUAUUAUUUAUUGUUUGUUGAGUUACCUCAGACACAAUAAAUUUUGUUUUUCUGGCGAAUAUCGUGCCAGCAACCGCGGUUAUACGAUGGGAGGUUAGUAUUGAUUAUUGGUUUGUAGUAAUAUUUUUGUUUUUAUUUAUAUUUUAAUUUUUGGGUGAAAUUUGUUUUUAUUUUUGAAGUAUUUUGUGUGAUUCUGUGAAACUUGAGUUAUAAACGAGGAUUAGAUACCCUUUUAUUUCGAGUGUAAAUUUUUAGCUUGGGUAGUGGUAGUUAGGAUCUUGAAACCCAAAGGAUUUGGCGGUAUUUUAGUCUUUUCAGAGGAACCUGUCCCUUAAACGACGAUCCACGAUUUGAAUUACUUAUUUUUGUGUUCAGUUUGUAUACCUCCGUCAUAAGAAUAUCUUUUUAGGGUAAAUUUUCUUAUUAUUUUAAGAAUAGUAUGUCAGGUCAAGGUGCAGCUUAUGAGUAAGUGGAGUUGGGUUACAUUGUAUUUUAUAAGCGGAUUUAUUUGUUUGUUUAUGUAAUGAAGUUGGAUUUGAUUGUAAAUUUAUUUAAAUAAGUUUUUUGAUUUUAGCUCUAAAAUAAGCACACAUCGCCCGUCGCUCUCGUGUUGAAAUGAGAUAAGUCGUAACAUAGUAGUUGUACCGGAAGGUGUAUCUAGUAAGUGU
Molecule: non-coding RNA, 771 nt
Filed under: Pseudolestes mirabilis
Lineage: Eukaryota; Metazoa; Arthropoda; Insecta; Odonata; Pseudolestidae
Source: RNAcentral